This 771-nucleotide ribosomal RNA is filed under the name Escherichia coli. RNAcentral describes it as "partial 23S ribosomal RNA". It matches the Rfam family "Bacterial large subunit ribosomal RNA", at positions 418 to 1190 of the family's 2925-position model. The record is from RNAcentral. Lineage: Bacteria; Pseudomonadati; Pseudomonadota; Gammaproteobacteria; Enterobacterales; Enterobacteriaceae.
CGGGACACGUGGUAUCCUGUCUGAAUAUGGGGGGACCAUCCUCCAAGGCUAAAUACUCCUGACUGACCGAUAGUGAACCAGUACCGUGAGGGAAAGGCGAAAAGAACCCCGGCGAGGGGAGUGAAAAAGAACCUGAAACCGUGUACGUACAAGCAGUGGGAGCCUCUUUUAUGGGGUGACUGCGUACCUUUUGUAUAAUGGGUCAGCGACUUAUAUUCUGUAGCAAGGUUAACCGAAUAGGGGAGCCGAAGGGAAACCGAGUCUUAACUGGGCGUUAAGUUGCAGGGUAUAGACCCGAAACCCGGUGAUCUAGCCAUGGGCAGGUUGAAGGUUGGGUAACACUAACUGGAGGACCGAACCGACUAAUGUUGAAAAAUUAGCGGAUGACUUGUGGCUGGGGGUGAAAGGCCAAUCAAACCGGGAGAUAGCUGGUUCUCCCCGAAAGCUAUUUAGGUAGCGCCUCGUGAAUUCAUCUCCGGGGGUAGAGCACUGUUUCGGCAAGGGGGUCAUCCCGACUUACCAACCCGAUGCAAACUGCGAAUACCGGAGAAUGUUAUCACGGGAGACACACGGCGGGUGCUAACGUCCGUCGUGAAGAGGGAAACAACCCAGACCGCCAGCUAAGGUCCCAAAGUCAUGGUUAAGUGGGAAACGAUGUGGGAAGGCCCAGACAGCCAGGAUGUUGGCUUAGAAGCAGCCAUCAUUUAAAGAAAGCGUAAUAGCUCACUGGUCGAGUCGGCCUGCGCGGAAGAUGUAACGGGGCUAAACCAU